Molecule: ribosomal RNA, 497 nt
Filed under: uncultured bacterium
Lineage: Bacteria
Description: partial 16S ribosomal RNA
Rfam family: Bacterial small subunit ribosomal RNA
Source: RNAcentral
GAUGAACGCUGGCGGCGUGCCUAAUACAUGCAAGUCGAGCGAACGGACGAGAAGCUUGCUUCUCUGAUGUUAGCGGCGGACGGGUGAGUAACACGUGGAUAACCUACCUAUAAGACUGGGAUAACUUCGGGAAACCGGAGCUAAUACCGGAUGAUAUUUUGAACCGCAUGGUUCAAAAGUGAAAGACGGUCUUGCUGUCACUUAUAGAUGGAUCCGCGCUGCAUUAGCUAGUUGGUAAGGUAACGGCUUAUCAAGGCAACUAUGCAUAGCCGACCUGAGAGGGGGAUCGGCCACCCUGGAACUGAGACACGGUCCAGACUCCUACGGGAGGGCGCAGUAGGGAAUCGUCCGCAAUGGGCGAAAGCCUGACGGAGCAACGCCGCGUGAGUUAUGAAGGUCUUCGGAUCGUAAAACUCUGUUAUUAGGUAAGAACAUAUGUGUAAGUAACUGUGCACAUCGUGACGGUACCUAAUCAAAAAGCCACGGCUAACUACGUG